This 11651-nucleotide long non-coding RNA is filed under the name Capsella rubella. RNAcentral's name for it is "long non-coding RNA (CRUB_LNC003579)". The record is from RNAcentral. Lineage: Eukaryota; Viridiplantae; Streptophyta; Magnoliopsida; Brassicales; Brassicaceae.
UUUUUUUAAUAUGAAGUAUUUGUAUUCAUGACUUUUUCCAUUACUGGUUAACACGUGUCAUUUCUUUCAUAAAAAUGAAAGGGACCAAUAGAUAUCAUCAACAAUCCAAAUACCAAAAUCAUCUUCUCACGUCCAAAAUAUCCAAUACAGUACGUCAUCUACUCCUAAGUUGUUUGCAUUCUCGUUUUUUUUUUUUUUUGUCCUAGAUAAUUCAUUCACAGACAUAUCAGAGUAACUCAAUUAUACAAAUGACCAUAUUACAAAUUAUGUACCGGAUCGACGACCUAUUUCCCCCCGAUAACUAUCACAUCGUAUCAUAACACCACAAAACUUUGACCUCGUCCUCAAACCACCCGAAUCAAAAGUUUUAUUUCUAUUUCCACCCGAAUCAAAAGUUCUAUUCUUAUUUCUCCCCGAUUAUCAUAGUUCUCAUCUAAUUUUCCAAAAAUCUGGGUUUUAUACGGUUAAAAAUCGGGUUACUGUUUUGAUGAACCAAAAGACGAAUCAUUUAACCGGAUUAAACCUUAUUCAACCCAAUUAGAGAACUAAACCAACCUGGUUAGAAAAAUUAACCUAAGAACCCAAAAUCGUUUCAGAUUCGUGGUGUUAAACUUGGGGUUGAAGAUGAUUCUUGUUUGAUUCGAUGUUAAUGAUGCAUUUUCUACUUUGAUUUGCAGAUUUUGUCUUUGCUUUUGGAACGAUUUACGAAUCCAGAUUUGUUGAAUCGUCACAAGCAGGUUUUGAUUUUUUUUUUGUUCUUGAUUUGAUUCUUUUAGACUCCGUUAAUGUUGGCUGCGAUGUACGAAAGGAUCUCUUGUGUGAAGAAUGCUCACUGAAGUUAGAGCUAAUGUAUGUUUUUUUUUAAUCAAGUUUGGGAUUUGGAUUUUGAACAUAUUAUGGACAUGCUAACUGUCUCUUAUCCUUUUCUUGAAUUCUUGAUCCGUUUUCAAUCAAACUCCUUGGAUGAGAAAGAGAUGAUAAAGGAGCGACUCCGUUGAAUGUGUUGUUGGACAGUGGUUUCUCUCUUCAUGCAACAUUUUCCAUUGAAACAACAUUUGUUAGAAGUUGGAACUAAUUCUCUAAGCUUUUGUUGAAUCAACAUUUGUUAAAAGUACACCAAAAUCAAUUUGGGGAUUUUGAUUCUGGGUUUUUUUGAAAUUUAGGGUUAGGGUUCUUGAGUCAAGGUGAGUUGGUCUCGGGUCGGGUUUUAAAUUUGUUAUAAACCGUGUUUCAUUGGUUUUGUAUCGGGUUUGGUUCGAAAACCAUGUAAAUCCACGCAAUUGGAGAAAUAGGGAUAGAACUUUCGAUUCGGGUAGAAAUAGCAAUAGAACUUUUGAUUCGGGUGGUUUAAAGACGAGAUCAAAGUUCUGUGGUGUUAUGAUACGAUGUGAUAGUUAUCGGGGGAAAAUAGGUCGUCGAUCCACAAAUUAUGUACCAAAUUUAGCAUUCUUGUUAAAAAAUAACCUUGUAAUUAAUACGCGCGUCACAUACAUAUAUAUCUUUCGUUCAGUGGAAAGUACAAAACAAGAUCCAGAUAUGAGACUUUUGUUUGUAGUCUACUGCAACUUUCUGAUGAGGAUAUAUAAUGAUGAUUACAUGACUUAUGAAAUGCGCUAUUCCUCUUUUCGUUCUCUUGUGCACUUGCGUGACCUCCUCUUCUAUCUUCUUAUUUCCUUAUAUUUCUUAAUCUCUAUUUCCUAUACUUGAAGAGGCUUUGAAAUUUGGAUUAAUUAGGAGGAAAUAUUUAACUAGAAAUUGUUGGGAUCAAGCUAUCAUAUAUAUCUACAUCCGUCAAAUACUUCUCUCUUUCUCUAUUUAUGACAUGUAUAUACAUUAUGAGAUCACGUACGUGAAGUAGACAAUGACUUUGAUUAGACCAGAAUCGAAUUGAAUAAUGUAUAGAAUUUGGAUGCAGACAAGAUGAGAAAACGAAACCAUUACCUGUCCACAUUAGAUAGAUUGGAUGCAUAGAGGGUCCACAUAUUACUAGUAAUGUAUUCGAGUAAUAUAGACCUUAAACUAGAAACAUGGCUUUAUAUUAGUUAAUGAUCAUACCCAUUUUGGUUGAUUCCUCCUCCUUCUGUUCUUGUAUACUAACAAGACAGGACCCAUGCAAGUUGUCAAUAGAGGUACCUCGAAAUAGAAGAGAUAAUUUGACGUGUGAGAGGAAUCAAUCACUAUUAUUAAAAAAUGUUGUCAGAGAAGGUGUUAGGGGUGCGCUAUAGUUAAUUUUUCCGAGGAGCGUUACAUCUAAUCUGAUGAAUCUAAUCCCUAGCUAGGAGCAUUAUCUUUUUGCCGAUCUUUUGUGUUUGUUUUCUUUGUUCUGAAGCAUCUUUUUAGUUUUUUUUUAUCUUUAUAUUCUAUACGUUUCAGCAACUCCUAGGGUCGCGAGGGGGAUCUUUGUAACUCCCAAACCGGUCCACGGAUAGUGAUGAGUGACCACUGUAAUCAAAAAGCAAGCAAAUCUUGUCAACCUAAUAUUGUUCACUAUUUUCCUAAAUUACAGUCCUCGAUUUAAUGUGAGAGUUUUUUUAAUAGCUUUGCCAGUUAUGGAUUGAUUCCUUGUCGUCUGUUGUGUUUUGGAGUUAUUAUUCGCAUUAUCUACAUUUUACACAUUUUGGACAGUAACUUUAAUACUUUUGAACGAGAGAACUGAUGUUUCUAUUUCAAACGCUUUACUUAAUUACAGCUCGUGGAAGUUUGUGCCGGCAUCAUAAUCUUUCAUCAUGGUAUUUUUGGUACGUUAAAUGUCAUCAAAAUACUUGUAAAUGUACAAAGUAAGUAAGUAAAGAUAUGAUGUGUUAAUUGUUUAGGGUCCCCAGAUUCUUGGUCCAUAUGGUAUAUAUAUAUACGAUAGAAUGAUAUAUUCUCUUGCCAAAAAGUUAUUUCAUUACUUGAUAUAUUUGCUCCAAAUUAAAGGGACGAAUAUAUUCAAAGAUGAGUACAUGCAUUGACCUUAUAACUUGGAGGGCAUGAACCCAGUCGUCCCUCCCCAGAGUUUAUUUAAAAAAAAAUGGAAAGAGAUAAAUAAGAUAUUGUGGUAAUAUACCUGUUGUAAAUGAUAGUGGUACGCCAUACUUGGGUUUUUUUGUUUGUUUGUUUUGUUUUCGAUCAGUUCGUUGACGAAUACAAAAAAUAAAAUAAAAAAACCAAUCAACAUCUAACCAAGGCUAGGAGAUGACGUCUAAAUUCGGAUAAAUUUAAUCCAAAUAUAUAUUGUCAGAUAUUUAAUACACAUACAUACGUGUAUUGAUAGAUAAGCUAAUCAUCACUUUUGAUGUUUGAUCUCUCUUUCUCUCACAACAAAAAUGUCAUUUUCGUUUUGUGCAAUGAUUUGCUUUCUAUCUUCGAUCUAUUUAUUGUUGUGUUAUCGUUUAAAUAAUUUUUUAGAAGAAAGAAAAUAAAAAGUUGUAAUCUAUAUUUUCUGAUUGGUAAAUUUAUCGCAUGAAUGUGAAACAAAAACUGUGAUGGAAAAUUUGUGCUUGAGAGAAAUAGUAAUUAACUUAAGAAUGAUGAUUAUAACCCUAAUAAAAUAUGUAUAACUUUAUUUACCAUGAUGAUAGUCAAUUUUAGUCAUAAAUUGUAGGGUUUUGUUCGCGUUAAAACAAAAACUUUAUACGUAGUUUGUAAUUGAGAGAGAGAAGCAAGAAGAACAAAAAAAAAAAAAAAAAAAAAACAGAGAAAGCCCCAAACCUGAAGAAGAUAACAAAUAAAAGGACUUUUGUUGGACUCUCGUGUUGUGUUGUGUCUAUCUCUCGCUGUAUAUAUAAAUACACACACAAUGACACAAAUCCUUCUUUCUUCACCUUUCCUUCCCCCACGCACACGACCCAAAAACUCAUCCUCUCCCUCCAUUUCGGACGACCUCUCAAGUCACCCCCUGCUUUUUCAUUUUUUAAUUUUCUCCACCGGGAAGUCAUAAUUAAACGUCUGGUUCCUAUACUUCUCCCGCCUAAUUUAUCGCUUUGCUUUCUCUGUUCUUUUUUUCCUUUCCACAGGUCACUCCCUUUCUUUUUUUCGCCUUUCUUCUUCUUUCUCGCCGUCGCCAUCACCGGAGAUAACUCCGUGGUGUUGCGCUUGGCCUUGUUUCCAUAUUAAUCCUCUGUGAUUCAAAAUUGAACCAAGAAGAAGAAGAAGCAGACCAACACGAUCAAGUAAAAUAUUGAUUUUUUUAAAAUCUGACCUCUCUCUGUUUAUAAAAAAAAAGAAAAAAUGAACACGACGUUACGUUACGAUCCAAGACAGAUGUCUAGGCCAACGAAACCGUCAGAUACUCCAUCUUCUUCUCCUUCUCGUAGUCACCGUAGACAGCCUUUGCUCCAACGUAGCCUCUCUUCUCCUUCUCCAAGAGCCACUUGCGGCGGAUCCACUCCCGCCGAGUUCUGCGGCGGUACCACCGCCAGUUGCGCCGCCGUCUGGUGUUGCUGUCCCUGCGGACUCGUCAACCUCCUCGUCCUCGCCAUCUACAAAGUCCCCAAAGGAAUCUGCCGCCGCGCUAUCCGGAGCCGCCGCCGCAAACAGCUCGUGAAGAGCGGGAUGCUUCCUCCGCUUCUGUCGGCCGGGAAAAACGAGCGGAUGCAGAGAGUUUUCCAGAACUCCGAAUUCGCGAUUCAUCCCUUGGAUAGCGAAGACGUCUCCGAAGACGAAGACGAUGAUAACUUCCUGGAUCUGAAGUAUAUCGGGAAGCCGGUAACGGCGGUGUUUGCGACGGAGGAGGAGGAGGAGACAGGUGAAGACGACGCGGCGGUGCUAGCGUUGGAGAAAGAGAUGUGGAAUAGGUUUUACGGCGCCGGGUUUUGGAGAAGUCCGUCACAGAGAGAAUCGGUUUCGUCUCCGAGAGUUUCGAAGUCUCUUUCGUCAUCGCCGAGAACGUCGUUUACGGAAGUAUACCGGAAUAGAGACGCAACGGUGGCGACGACAACGAGAGCCGUUAGGCAUUUUGAUUAGGUGAAUGAGUGAGGCUUUUUUUCUUGUUAAUAGUGGUUUGAUUAAUUUGUGUGUGUGAGAGAGUGUUGUUGUAAUUUGUGUGUAAAGCUUCUUCUGCCUUUUUUUUUGGUCAAAAUCUUUGGUGUUGUGACUUUUAAAUUCCAAUGGUAUGGGAUCGUCAACAAUGUGAAUUUUCGAAACAUGAAUAGCAUGUGAGUGAUGUAUUUUGUCGAUCUUGAACGCAACUAACCAUUCCAACAUUGGAAUUUUUUGAUCCGUUAGAGUUAAUUAGACCAAUUUCAAGAAAAAUGAAAAGAGUUGAGGAUACAAAACUAGAGUUUGAUUCGAUGUGUUGUAAUCUUUACUAGCUAAUCACUCGUACCACAAAAGGCAUCAGAUUGAUUAGGUGAUGCGGUAAAUAAACGAGGGACGUGGAGAGGUGAAAGUAAGAAUAAAAAGGGUAAAAAUAUAGAGAUUUAGAAGAGGGUGGGAGUAUUAUUAUUAAUUAUGGAAGCUGUCCUUACCUAUAUAUAUAUAUUCAAGGGGUUUUGGGAAGAGUUGUAGACUUUGUAGGGGUGGGUGAGGUAAUUGAAUGGGGGGGGGGACCAUGAAAAAUCACUUGUCAUUAGUGUUGUUUUAAAAAAGCAAUUAAUUCAGGUGUUGCUAGUUGCUAUCACCACCUUCAUGCCUUCUUCUUCGUCUCUCUCUAAUUUACUCUUCUUUUGUUGUGAAUUUUUCAAUUGUCUUUUUUUCUUUUUGUAACUUCACUAUCACUAAUUCAUCUUUGCAUGUUACCCUACUUCAUUUAUUUCAUCAUUUGCUGAAUCUCAUGCAAACUGUUCUUUUUUUUUUUCAGAUCUUUGUAAACAAUAAAGAUUCCUUACAGCUACGACCAAAAAAAAAACGUAAAAUAUGAUUUUUUUUCAAUAAAGACUGAACAACCAAACCAUCUCCAACCAACAUAAAAAAAGCCGUAAAAAACAUAGACAUCGUAUUAAAAUGAAAUCGUGCGUCUUGUACCGAAAGAAAAUGCCGGAGGAUUCAUUCAUCUUAUCAUUGUUAUUAUAUAAGAUAAUGUGUUUUAAAAUUAAGAAUGUCUUGGUUGUUAUUUUGUUGUUAAUAUAAAACUCACGAGGGGUUUUAAAAAAAAAAUGUAUUUACCCUUUCGGCUCUUUCGGCAACUUAAUUAGUUAAUUAUAUACUUGGACCUGGGUUAUUCGAAGAUGCGCAUAUUUUUAUGUCUUCAUUGACAAAGCAAAAGGUCAUCACCGGGAAGAAGAAAAAAGAAAUCAACUAGUGGUACGAAAAGAAAAGUAAAAGAUGGGGACCUCUCUGAAUCUUUGAUAGUCAUAGGUUUUGUAUGUAGAUGUAAUUAUAAACCCGUCCUCUCCUCUUUGGUGACCUCAUUUACCUUCUCAUUCUCACUUUGGCGGAAUGAAUAAUAUGAAGAUAACUAAAGGGUAUGUUAUAUGUAGAACCGAUCCAUGUUUUAGGUCCAAUAAUUAAUGUCAAUGUUUUAGGGAUCUUUUCUUUUAUAUAUGAAAUAUGAAAGAGUUGCAUUCGUGUUUGGAUCUUGCAAUGGAAAAGAAGAAGACAGAAACAUGCGAGAUAUAUAUAGGUUGAUUCAUUCACUGCUAAAUCGUUCGUUUUGAAUAUUAAAGUUCAUAAUUCUUCAAUAUGGAUUUUUUCAGAUGGUUCUAUAGACGACGACAAAGGGUAAAGCCCGUGGAUAUAAUGAUAAGGGCCGAAAGCAAAUAAGACAGACGAGACUACUUUGAAGUGAUGAAGUUUUUAAGUUCAAUUGGGCCUUCUUAAAGCCCUGUCUCUUUUUGUAAUCCAGCGGGAACCAUGAGAAACAUUUUGUAAAACGACAAACAUUUGCCAAAAACGCUGUCCUUGAUUUGGGUUGGAAGUAAGUGCACAUGACAAGUUGGGAGGAGCGCGUACGAGAGUGGAGUGAGUGAGAGAGAGAGUAAACAACAAACAACAAAAGGGGUAAUAAGUGGAGGAAGAGUUUGAAGGAGGUGGGACAUUUCAUAACACGAUUCACGAACAUAACGUAGCAACCAAAAGGUGUCUCUCUCUCUUACUAUAUAGUAUUAUACAUUAAAUGAUGGUUGUAAGUAUUAGGUCAUUUACAUAUACAUACCACCGACAGCUCCAUUUCAAGCCACGUGUUUCCUUCCUUCUUCUUCGGCUUCUUUCCUUUGCUUCACAUGUCUCUCUUCUUUUCUUUUAGGUUAUAUAUGAUGUUUGGUUGAAGUUCUCUUAUUAAUUUCACUUUCAAUUUAAGUAUCAACACCCACCACAUCAUUAACUUCAGAAGACUGACUAUUUAACUACUCUCCCUUUCUUUUCUUUCUAAUAAUAAUCAUCUUGUUAUUGUUAUUAUUCUCGCUGAUUGUCUUAGUCCUUGUUAUCUUAAGAGUUAAAAAGACUUUAAUAAAAGGAAAACUUCAAAGACCAUCAUUUUCACCCUAUCGUAUAAAUGCAAAAAAUGCUAAUAUUAUUGUUCCGUAUAUUUAGUUUAAUUUUAAACUAAAAUUACGAUUACUUCGUUUUACACUGAUUUUAGAAAUCAAUGUAAAAUAUUUGAGUAUCAAAUUAUAUCUGAUAUUGUAAUAUAGUACUAUGACCAUUUGAUACCUAAAUCACGGAUAAAAAAAAAAAGGAAAUACGAAUUCACUUGCAUAACUAGAAAUUCCAUCUGAAGAGUUUAAUAGCAUCAGAACUUGUUUGUUCUGAAAUUAGUAGUAAUUCUUCAUUAAUUAAAGAAAAAAGUUUAUCAAUAAAGACAAAAAACAAAAACAAAGUGGUGUGUCCCGUUGUUUAUUCAAUGAUUAUAUGAUUUUUUAAAAUGAUUUAGCCGAGAAAAAAACAAAAAAUAAAUAAAUAAUACUACUCUAUAAAAAGGGUUUGAUUAAGAGACGUAUUAAUUAAUGGGAAGCCGAGCUGAGCCGAAUAUAUAAAAAUAAAAGUCAGAGCUAAGAAAAAUAAUUAAUUCUUUUUUCAUUCAGACACCGUGUGGUCCCCAACACCAGCCUGUCCGAAAACCCAAACUUGAUACACAAACACAGACCACCGAAGCAGCUCACAUUCACAUCUCUCUCCUCUGUGUUUCUCACUCCCCACUUUCUAAUCGCCGGCUAUUCAACUAAACAUCGACAAAAAACAAACUUCAAUUCUCCAAAAACAUAUUUUUUCUUUCUUGAUUCCUUCUUCAACAGAUUAUUUCAAUCUUACAGAGCACCAUGGAUCGUUGUAUCUAUGGUUGCUCCGCCAUUACUCUCUUCUUCCUCCUCCUCACUGCAUCCGCUCUCGAACCGGGUCACCACAACGUCACCGGGUCUGGUCAAAUAAACUCCAACUCCGUUCUCGUAGCUCUCCUUGACUCUCGUUACACUGAGCUAGCCGAGCUAGUCGAGAAGGCUCUCCUUCUCCAAACCCUCGAAGACGCCGUCGGUCGUCACAAUAUUACUAUUUUCGCCCCUCGCAAUGAAGCCCUCGAGCGUGACCUCGACCCUGAUUUCAAACGCUUCUUGCUCCAACCAGGUAACCUCAAAUCUCUCCAGACGCUUCUCUUGUCUCACAUUAUCCCCAAACGAGUCGCCUCCAACCAAUGGCCUGACGAGAAUUCGGGUCGGGUCAAACACGUUACGCUAGGCAAUGAUCAAGUGCUGCAUUUAACUCAACUCAAAGGAACCAACGGCAAGAGACUGGUCAAUUCCGCUGUCAUUACCCGACCCGAUGAUUUGACCCGACCCGACGGUUUGAUCCACGGUAUCGAGCGGCUUUUGAUCCCUCGUUCCGUUCAAGAAGAUUUCAACCGACGCAGAAGUCUCCGAUCAAUCUCCGCCGUUUUACCCGAAGGAGCUCCUGAAAUCGAUCCGAGAACCAACCGUCUCAAAAAACCCGCAUCCGCCGCAGUUCCCGCCGGAUCUCCGCCGGUGCUUCCGAUUCAAUCCGCUAUGGCUCCAGGUCCUUCGCUAGCUCCGGCUCCGGCUCCGGGACCAGGAGGUGCUCGCAAACACUUCAACGGCGAUGCUCAGGUCAAAGAUUUCAUCCACACAUUGUUGCAUUACGGCGGAUACAACGAAAUGGCCGAUAUCCUCGUGAAUCUGACGUCGCUGGCGACGGAGAUGGGUAGAUUAGUGUCUGAAGGUUACGUCCUCACCGUGUUAGCUCCGAACGACGAAGCUAUGGCGAAAUUGACGACGGAUCAGCUGAGCGAGCCCGGAGCUCCGGAGCAAAUCAUGUAUUACCACAUUAUACCCGAGUAUCAGACGGAGGAGAGUAUGUAUAAUUCGGUUAGGAGAUUUGGGAAGGUCAAAUACGAAACGCUGCGUUUUCCUCACAAGGUUGGUGCUAAGGAAGCUGAUGGUUCGGUUAAGUUCGGUUCUGGUGACCGGUCGGCUUAUUUGUUUGAUCCGGAUAUUUACACCGACGGUCGGAUAUCGGUUCAAGGGAUCGAUGGUGUUCUGUUCCCAGAGGAGGAAGAAGAGACGGUUAAGAAAUCGACCGGUUCGGCUAAGAAAGUUGUUCAACCGAGAAGAGGUAUGAUUUGAUUCAUCUUUUGUUUGAUUUUAAUUUGUGUUUACUGUUUGGUAGCAUUAGGGAUUAUAGGGUGAAUUGAUCUAAACGUAGAUUCAUUGAGAUUAUAUUUAUAAUAUAACCAUCAUGUGUGAAUAAGUAGGUUUAUAUUUGUGUCAUGUUAGAAAGAAUCUGUUUUGGUUCAAAGUAAUUAGUUUCAAGACAUUGGAUUAGUCAUAUGAUCUCCGGCAAAACGAGCCAGACCAACGGAUGAUUCCGGUGAGAAGUAAUUAGAAAGAAAGAAUCAUGAGAAGCUUCUUCACAUUACCUAAAAAAGCAUCUUCUCACGUUUCUAAGCUUUCACUUAUUAAAUUUAGUUAAUUAAAUUAUUGGGUGUUUAAGCUUUUUUCUUUCAGAAAUAAUUUAAUAAGGUGACAGGAGAUUGUGAUUGUGAUUGAUAGUGAUGAUGACCUAAUAAUUAAAAGUUUAUUUCUGUAUUUAAAAACAGGGAAGUUGCUGGAAGUAGCAUGUAGAAUGCUUGGAGCAAUAGGCAAGGACUCAUAUCUAAGCAGAUGCUGAUGAAUUCAUCAAACCUGGAAGAGAUUAUUUAAGAAACAUCUCUCGAGUGUUGUCUGUAUACACAUAUCAAAGGUUAGUAUCUGCGGUUAAGAGUUUCGCGAUCGAUUAAAGGCGACGAACGAUCGAUUAAAGGCGACGAACGAUCGUUCAUGGACUCAAUAGUUUUCGUGUUAUUGCAGGUUCUUUGGACAAGGAUGAAAGACUUGGAGGAAAAGAGCAGGACAAACGAAACAAAACACAAGAGAGGGAAUAACAUCAAUGUUCAAAGCAUAUUCUUCAAUGGGAAUAUGAAAGAGGGGUUUUGUUGGAUUUUUAUUUCUAAUAUGAGAAAAGUAUAUUAUUAUUUUUAUUUUUGGGUGGGGGUUUUGAGUUUUGGGGGUUAUAAAUACUGUAAUUAGAUAGAUAUGUGAACUUCAUUUUUUCAAUUGAUUUGGUGUAAUGAAAAUGAAUCAUAAAGUGGGGAACAAAAGAAAAAGACUUUUUUUGAGUACCCACCACCACCACCACCAUUUUCUUCUCUCAACUCGUAAAUGAUCCCUCUUUCUUUUAGUUGGCCUUUUAAUUUGUGAAUGGUUUUAGAGUGCGUCAAAUUCCACUUCAUUAAAACAUCAUUAUAUCAUCAGAUAUAGAGUAAUUUGUAUUCAACGUUCUUUGCCGAAGUCUGUGUUACACAAACAAAGUUUAUUAACUCGGUGUUAUAACUGAGUAAUUUGUCUUAAUAUUCUGUGGUAAAAUAAUCUCCAUUUCGGUUGAAUUAUCAUUAUACUAAUAUUGAAAGGUAUGACUUUAUUUUGUUUUAUUUAUUUUUAUAGCGAAAUACAAAAAAAAGAAAAGAAAUGGAAGGUAUUAUAUAUAGAUUUGGUAAGAGCGAUGAUGAAACAUGUGUUGGAGAGAGGAGAUGAGUUGGCGUCCGGCUGUCUAUGUGAGAUAUUAUUAUCAUGAAAUAGAGGGAGAGACCCAAUUACACAACACAAAGCUUAAAGCUGGAUGACCUAUCAUUUUCAAUCGAUGACUUUUUCUAAUUUGUUCCCCUUCAGUCUCUUUAUUAGUAUAAUAGCUGUAUAUUUAGCUAGAGCUCUAAACAAGGUUUUAUCAACAGUAGUAGACCAUUUCAACCACUUAAACAAUAACUUGUUUUUGGUGUCUAUAGAUAUGAUAUCAUAAUACAAUGGAGCUGACUAUUUUUUUUUUAUAUAUAUUCUCUCUUCCUUUUUUCUAAUGAAAAACGCAGCGCACUUGAUAUUGAUAAUGCUGAAGGUGGCAAAGAUAGAAUGGCCCUACGCUCAAUAAUUUCACACUAGAAAAAGAACGACCUGCUGCAACUAGUCUCGGUUGUCUUCAUUCGUAUAUGCAGAGUUAGAGACCAGACCGGUAGGUAAGCUCAUGAGAAUACAAAAUACAUGGAUAUUAGACAAAACAGGAACUUCAAUAUCCGAGUGAAAUCACGGCCAAGAAACCGUCGACGAUUGCAAAGAGAGUCUUACAAAGGUCUUUGAUAAUAACUCAUUGGUAAUUCUUUUCUUGUUUAAACAAUUUGGUCUGCAAUUACAAGUAAUUUGAGAACAGAGCGCCAUAAUAGCCUAAUGACUACCAAACUUUAAAUGCUCAGUCGGUGC